UGCAGCAGGCGCGAAACCUUUACACUGCACGUCAGUGCGAUAGGGGGACUCCGAGUGCGGAGGCAUAGUGCCUUCGCUUUUCUGUACCCUAAGGCGGUACAUGAAUAAGAGCUGGGCAAGACCGGUGCCAGCCGCCGCGGUAAUACCGGCAGCUCGAGUGAUGACCGAUUUUAUUGGGCCUAAAGCGUUCGUAGCCGGCCGGGCAAGUUCGUCGGGAAAUCUACCAGCUUAACUGGUAGGCGUCCGGCGAAAACUGCUCGGCUUGGGACAGGGAGACUCGAAGAGUACGUCCGGGGUAGGAGUGAAAUCCUGUAAUCCUGGACGGACUACCGAUGGCGAAAGCACUUCGAGAGAACCGAUCCGACGGUUCGCCCGCCGCGCCCCG
Molecule: ribosomal RNA, 385 nt
Filed under: uncultured archaeon
Lineage: Archaea
Description: bacterial SSU rRNA
Rfam family: Archaeal small subunit ribosomal RNA
Source: RNAcentral